GACGAACGCUGGCGGCGUGCUUAACACAUGCAAGUCGAACGAAGAGCGAUGGAAGCUUGCUUCUAUCAAUCUUAGUGGCGCACGGGUGAGUAACGCGUAAUCAACCUGCCCUUCAGAGGGGGACAACAGUUGGAAACGACUGCUAAUACCGCAUACGAUCUAAUCUCGGCAUCGAGGAUAGAUGAAAGGUGGCCUCUACAUGUAAGCUAUCACUGAAGGAGGGGAUUGCGUCUGAUUAGCUAGUUGGAGGGGUAACGGCCCACCAAGGCGAUGAUCAGUAGCCGGUCUGAGAGGAUGAACGGCCACAUUGGGACUGAGACACGGCCCAGACUCCUACGGGAGGCAGCAGUGGGGAAUCUUCCGCAAUGGACGAAAGUCUGACGGAGCAACGCCGCGUGAGUGAUGACGGCCGUCGGGUUGUAAAGCUCUGUUAAUCGGGACGAAAGGCCUUCUUGCGAAUAGUGAGAAGGAUUGACGGUACCGGAAUAGAAAGCCACGGCUAACUACGUG
RNAcentral lists this ribosomal RNA (510 nucleotides) under uncultured bacterium. Its description in RNAcentral is "partial 16S ribosomal RNA". It matches the Rfam family "Bacterial small subunit ribosomal RNA", at positions 28 to 507 of the family's 1533-position model. The record is from RNAcentral.